GAGAGGGUUGCCAUGACGAAGCUUUGGGUGAGGGCUCGACCUGUGGCGCGCUGCAUAACGAGAAUCGUGCGUAGAGAGAUGUCCAUGGUUCCAUAUUUGACGGGGUGGCCCUCCACAAGCUAGAACCUGAAGAACCUGCACGUUAGCACCAUCGUCUUCACAUGCAGGUACGCUGAAACUUUGCCCAGGCGGAUUUGCGGCCCCUCCUUGAACAGCGACCCAUGGCGUUGCGCACCGUCGCCGCCGAUCCACUGCUCUGGCCGGAAUCUAGCGGAGACGGGCCCUCAGCUGUACUCCACCCGCCCCAUGGAGCAGGGAACCUACAUCACCAUCCACUGGCGCGCAUCUCCUUUCCUUCGAUGGUGCCGAUGACCUCGCCCAUGAACCGAUAUCUCUUACCUUAAUCGCCAAGUAUCUCUCAAAUUGGCUGUUUAUUUUGCAUCCUGCAUGUAUAUUUUCGCUCAUAGUAGUGCCAUUAUGUAAGUAUGUAGUAGCUUCCUCACGCCAUCUGAUUGAUAUUGAGAUGUACAAAUUCAUCCAAGGCUCCAUUCAUAAAUCAUAACUCUACCCUACUAUUUUACUAAUUUAUUGUGAGGUUAUCCUUCAUGGUUUGCACAUUGUUAUUUCUUAGGCACAUAGACGCAUGAAUGUCCUUAUUAAUAAAUAUUUUUGUUCCAGCGAUUCCCUACUGAAGAAAGAACGCGCAAACAUUGCCAUGCAAAGGACUAUUUGUUAGAUAAUGAUUCCUCGCGUAUUCAUUUUCUUCCUGUCUUGGGAGAUAAUUUUCCAGAUUCUACCUUUACAGAUGGCCUUUAUCACUUUUCAGGUAAAACAAUGAAUUAUCUUUGUUUGUUCUAGGAGAUAUAUACCACCCUUGGGAACCAAGGAAAGAAAGGCUCCUUCUUCUAUCUUCGUCAUUUGCAAUAUCAAUUGGAUCUCUCCGUUGUGAAGUGCUAUCUUCGCUAUCUACACUCACAAUGUUACUGAUUUGUGUCCAAUCACGCUUUCUCUACUAUCAUUUGCAAGAUGAAGCCUGAGGACACUAUCAUUCCUUCCUACUAAAUGUCAGCCACUACUAUUUGCAUUAGCUUUGCCUCAGAACAACCCCUUUUUCAUUUCGAAAGAGGAAGUAGCAGUUCUCACUAAUGAUCAGCUAUAUAAGCUAUCGUAGAUUUUCUUUGUUUAACAAAGACAACGACCCGGUACUGUCAAUUUCUCUCGACCUUCAU
Triticum dicoccoides is the source of this 1229-nucleotide long non-coding RNA. RefSeq lists it as uncharacterized. Lineage: Eukaryota; Viridiplantae; Streptophyta; Magnoliopsida; Poales; Poaceae. The transcript is spliced from 3 exons. The record is from RefSeq and is a predicted model, not a curated record.